AAGUGGAAAGUUUUAAAUUUCCAAAAGUACAAAAAUGUUGAAAACAUAUUACGCCGCUGCUAAGCGACACGAGUCUGAAGCCAAGGUAAACGUUUACCAAUGCUUCGUAUUUGACGACAUGGUGCACUUGCUGUAACAAGGUAACAUGUCCAACAAACUUAAGGCAGAACGGUGCUCGUUUAGGUAACCCAUGAGGCUCUUGUAGGACACAGCAAUGCAACAGCACCUUCGAGGGAAACCGUGGGAAAGAAGAUCGUCUUUAUUAGAGAGCCCACCAAAGGUUGAAGGCAGGACACGACCGAGAAAGCCGAAGGAUGGAAAAGACCUAUUUUUUGAAGUGGUGAUGUUUGUGGGGUCGUUGUCGUCAAGCAAACCCUCGGGCGACGUUGUGCCCGAGCUCUGCAAUCGGCGCACAUCGC
This 419-nucleotide long non-coding RNA is filed under the name Varroa destructor (honeybee mite). RNAcentral describes it as "uncharacterized LOC111243485, transcript variant X3". The record is from RNAcentral. Lineage: Eukaryota; Metazoa; Arthropoda; Arachnida; Mesostigmata; Varroidae.